This 292-nucleotide ribosomal RNA is filed under the name uncultured bacterium. Its description in RNAcentral is "partial 16S ribosomal RNA". It matches the Rfam family "Bacterial small subunit ribosomal RNA", at positions 505 to 796 of the family's 1533-position model. The record is from RNAcentral.
GUGUCAGCCGCCGCGGUAAUACGUAGGCAGCAAGCGUUGUUCGGAAUUACUGGGCGUAAAGAGUGUGUAGGCGGUGCUCUAAGUCUGUCGUGAAAUCUCCCGGCUUAACUGGGAGGGUGCGGCGGAUACUAUUGUGCUAGAGGGUGGGAGAGGUAAGCGGAAUUCCUGGUGUAGCGGUGAAAUGCGUAGAUAUCAGGAGGAACACCUGCGGUGUAGACAGCUUACUGGACCACUUCUGACGCUGAGACACGAAAGCGUGGGUAGCAAACAGGAUUAGAUACCCUAGUAGUCC